AAAUAUAAAAAAUAUACAUGACAGACUUCAAAAUUAACAUGCAAUAGCUUUCAGAAUUACCGUUAAAAUCAUUCCUAAGAAUUAAUUCUGAUUAAAGGGCAUUAUCAACAUAUACUCUGAUUAAUUCUGAUUAAUAGAUACCAUUUGAUAUUUUAAUUUACCAUUUUAAUUCAAUUAAUGUAGUUUCCAUAAAAUUCAAGGGUGCCAAUAGAUAUUUCACUUCUUGAAUGUAUGUUGCGUUACACGUAACCUAGGUUUGGCCAUUUGAUAAUCGUAUGUUAUUAUUUAAAAAAAUAAAAAGAACAUUGGAAAGAAUGAAAAAUAGAUGUAUAAUUGAUAAAAGAAGGCAAAUAUAUCCAUAAACAUAAAGAAUACAAGGACUCGUGUGAAAUUCGCCAGAAGAAAAAAGACAAAAAACGUAAGUUACGCUUAACGUAACUUAGAGGCGCCCCUCGACUCAAUUAAACACAUGACCGGCAACUGUAGUGGGAUUUAUAUCAAGGCUCCGCAAGUUACAUUUAACGUAACUUACGGCGACCCAUAAAAUAUCAACUAACCCCUUAUAAUCUCUAUUAUUUAUAAUUU
RNAcentral lists this long non-coding RNA (585 nucleotides) under Citrus x clementina. RNAcentral's name for it is "Citrus clementina (C. clementina) long non-coding RNA (CCLE_LNC002568)". The record is from RNAcentral. Lineage: Eukaryota; Viridiplantae; Streptophyta; Magnoliopsida; Sapindales; Rutaceae.